Long non-coding RNA from Astatotilapia calliptera (eastern happy), 2051 nucleotides. The record is from Ensembl. NCBI's taxonomy places the organism in Eukaryota, Metazoa, Chordata, Actinopteri, Cichliformes, Cichlidae.
CUCGCCGAGUGGGUCUGGGAGUUUGGAGACGGCAGUGGGGGCGGAAGCUGCUGGGGCCGUCCCGAAGCCUUCCAAGGGGCGGAUGCCGUCGGGGGCGGAAGCUCCUGUCGCCAUUCAGUCUCCUGUAUUUGACCCGGCUGGCCAGGUUGGGGCGGGUUUGGUGACGGAGGAUCUCAGGCUUGCCCUUCGCUUGAAGGAGGUGGAGUUGGCGGCUAAGGCUAAGGAAGUCGAGCUCAUGCAUCUCCGCAUUCGAGCUAUGGAGCUUGAUCGUUCUCGAGCGAGUGACGCUGCUCCCGUUCCUGUAAGUACACUCCCCGACACUCCCACCAUAGACCAGUUUAACGCUAGCAAACAGAUUGUUUUGGUACCUCCUUUUAGGGAAGGAGAGGUUGACUCAUAUUUCACUGCUUUUGAGCGCAUCGCAACCACUUUAAAAUGGCCAAAGGACGUCUGGAGUCUGUUGCUGCAAUGCAAAUUAAUAGGAAGAGCGCAGGAGGUCUGUGCGAGUCUUUCUGUUGCGGACAGCUUGGAUUAUGAGGUUGUCAAAUCCACUAUUUUGCGGGCUUAUGAACUUGUCCCAGGGGCGUAUCGACAGAAGUUUCGUGCCUGUCGCAAGCUUGAUAGUCAAACGUUUGUGGAAUUUGCACGUGAGAAAACUGUCUUAUUUGACAAGUGGGUGGCUGCCAGUCACGCGGAGGACUUAACUCAGCUAAAGGAGUUGAUCCUGCUGGAAGAGUUCAAGACAUGUCUCCCUGAAAACAUUGUCGUGUAUCUUAAUGAGCAGAAGGUUGGGUUACUGUCUAAAGCCGCGGUCCUUGCCGACGAGUUUGUGUUAACUUAAAGAGAGAGAGAGAGAGUGUGGAGCCAUCGCAGUCCUGACCCUGGUUUUCCCAGCCUGUGUUUAUCUUGUGUAUUUGUGGGAGUGUGAAUUGUAAAAGCCGCUCCUAGUGCAUUAGCUGAGAGCUUAGGCACUCGUGGGCUGAAGCGGAAGGGGUGAGCUGCCUUUUCUUUUGGAAUCGUUUUCUCCUGUUUUCUUGGUCAGGGAGCGAGGGAUAGCUCUGGCAUUUGUUUGUUCUUUUUUCUUUCUUAGGGUUUAGUUAGUCUUUUCUGGUCGGACUUAGUUGGUUUUGUUUAUUAUUUUGGCCUGGGCUCACCCUGGAGCUAUGCUUCUUGUCCUUAAAUAAAAUCACUUUUUUUUACUCACAACUGGUUUGGAUGUUUGGCUUGGGAACCAGGGCGGGGAUUUGUCUCUCUCUCCUCCAACCUUAUGUGCGUCCCUACCCACCUAGACUAGGGGCGUAACAGAGAGUGAUGAGCUGCAGUCUGCUCAGCAGUGAGAACAGAAGAUGUCAGCUGAUACGGAUGAAUAUCACCAAAGAGAAGAGAGGCUGAAAGAGUUUCUACCAGAGCCAAAUGUCAUCGACUCCUCACUGAAGUCGUCCACCAGUCCAACCACUGGGAUCCAGCUGCUGCUCUCUAACUGGUCCACACAGCAGCUCAGACCUGACACAUUUACUGUAAACACACUGGUUUAUAUUCUGUUUGUUCUCCUCAUGAAAGAAACCUCACACAACCUCUGAGGGCAGAAAUUCAAAUGGAGAGUUUUUGUUAUUUUCUUUUAUAAAGAAGCUGGAAAAAUUUAACUUUCUUAAUUUAGUUUUUAAAUUUUUUAUAUAAAAAAGAAAAAUUUUCUUCAUCAGGCCUUUCAGAAUAAAAGCAUGACCAAGACGUAAUUUAUACAUAAACAAUAAUAAAUGUUAUGUAGCUAAAUUGUAGAUGUAAUCCAUGUUUUCAUGUCUUCAGUAACUUUGCUGUUAUUUAUGUUAUUUCUAAGUGUGCUGUCGUCUCCACAGCAGUGAUCUGGUUUCUCUGCAGGUUCAAUAAACUUUGGUCUCACUUGAUCUUCUCGUGUGCUUCUGUGGGUUUCACAAAGAUGUCUGAUGGAAAACGUGAGUCGUUUUCUUUUCCUGGUGGGAACAUAGAACCAGUCCUAGAUUGGUCACUGACUCUGUAAAUACUGAGGUACGACCAUGAACACAGCUGUCUGAGCC